RNAcentral lists this transfer RNA (91 nucleotides) under Oscillospiraceae bacterium. RNAcentral describes it as "tRNA-Ser". It matches the Rfam family "tRNA". Rfam says of the family: Transfer RNA (tRNA) molecules are approximately 80 nucleotides in length. RNAcentral also lists the same sequence under 1 other name. Lineage: Bacteria; Bacillati; Bacillota; Clostridia; Eubacteriales; Oscillospiraceae. The record is from RNAcentral.
GCAGAAGUACCCAAGUGGCCGAAGGGGCUCCCCUGCUAAGGGAGUAGGCGGGUGAAACCGCGCGAGGGUUCAAAUCCCUCCUUCUGCGCCA